RNAcentral lists this long non-coding RNA (5853 nucleotides) under Olea europaea (common olive). RNAcentral's name for it is "long non-coding RNA (OEUR_LNC011182)". The record is from RNAcentral. Lineage: Eukaryota; Viridiplantae; Streptophyta; Magnoliopsida; Lamiales; Oleaceae.
AGCCUGGCUAGGUCGUACAGUGACUGACCUGGCUUUUUACCUGCAAGGUCGAGUCAGCCUGCCACACUUUACACAUCUACGCAGUUGAAGCACAAGAUGCAUCUCCAAAAGAGAUAUAGGCGCUCGUCCAUGGCAUAAAUCUGAAACCUUGCCAUUCCUAGUUAGCAUCAAUAACACUAUUUUAGCAUGACUUUUUAUGAGACAAAUUGUAUUUGCCUUUCUAUAGGAUUCAAAUUUGGCCCCUUUUUUAUUUAGCAAAUCAAGUUCCACCAAUCUAUCUUGCUAUAAGGGAGAAGAUUAUAUGUAAUUAAGUUGUUGUUUUGGGAUCUUCAAUAGUCAUGAGCGAUGCUAUUCAUUGUUAGUAGAGUUCACAAAUCUAGGUGGCAGUAGGUCCCUUAAUUCAUUGGAUUAAGAUGCUGCCAUCUCGACCGGUGAUAUUUUUGCUAAAGAUGAAAGCCAAAAUCAUUAAUUCACCCCAAACUUGGCUACUCUUCCUAAAGCUAAAGAGAGCAUUAAAUACCAUAAAAUAAAAUAAAGGAAAAUUGUAGUGGCAAUAUACCACUAUCAAACACUAUGAAACCUGAAAAAUUCAUUAAACUUUGAAAAUACAAGUAUUUUUUAAGUGUUAAUAAAUUGUGGAUUCAUGAAAAGCGUAAAUAAUAAAUGAAUGUUAAGCAGUCAGUCUUAAGGUCGAUUUGGCCUGAAUUUCGUUUUUGCUCUUGCAUCCUGCGGAAGAUCUUUUAGAUGAAGUUACCUUAAUUUGAAAAUUAAUUUUUAAAAGAAUAUUUUUAUAUUUCAAAAGUGUUGUUAGAUGAAGCAACACUGGAGCAGUUUCCUCAUCUGAGUCAUUGUUCAUUUAAUGCGAAUCCAAGGGCAAGAAAUCACAAGGAAAAGUUGUGGGAAUAAAUAGUUAAAUUUAAUUGUUAAGCUAGAAACACUUCCAUAAAAUAAGUCGAAUCGGUUCAAAAGUAGUUUUUGCGUCAUAGAAACUCAUUUUGACUUUUAGGAAGUCAUGCAAAACGAAUCCUCAAUAUAUCAAAGUGUUAUUUUCGUCAAUUUUACUUAACCCACUUCAGACAAUCUAGCUGAACUGGGCUUAGUUUAUUUUUGGCCCAAGUUGUACCAAUCCCAUCGAAAGCCCUUCUACAAAUACAAAUACCAAUGGUGCUAUAAAAGCAUUACUCUACUUGUUAACAGAGAAUGAUAUUUAGUACCAAUUGUAUUACAAUACCGGACUAAAUAAUAUUGGAUGAUAUCAAAUGAUAUUAUUAAUUAAACGAGUCAUCUAUUUUCUACAUUUUACUUUGUCAAUGAAUGAUGUAUAUGAUAUCAAAGGUAGUGCUAAGUAGUAUUAUUAAUAAUAACGAGCUAAUAUAAUCAGUUGUUAUAAUUUUAGUGGAGAUAGUUAAAUGAGGACAAGAGAUUUCGACUCAGGUUAUAGUUGACUUUUUAAUAAAAGUAACUUUUUCACGUUUUUCUAGUCAAAAUUUGGAAAAUUGUUCAAAAAUGCAUAUCUUGGACUUGAAUGAAGUGAAGAAUUUUAAUGUUAAAAAGUCUAAUUUCACAAUUAUAUAAGUUGAGUAGGAAUUGACAUCUUACUAGCGGUUCUAAUCUACUAAGUGUCAGUACCAUAAAAAAUAUGAUUUAAGAAAAUCCAAGAGCAGAAGUAAUUAAAGAUUCUUGGGUCCUCGAUUUUUUUUUCUUUAAAUAAUAGUCAUACUGCAAAUUCUAUUUUUAAAUAACUCAAUUAUACCAAUUAUUCUGAUUUAGCUUUCUUUCAUUUAUUUUAUGUUAAAUAAUUGAAAAAAGCAAUUUUGGUUUUGGAGUGGAAACAUUUCAUAAAUAGAUCCUUCGAUUUGUGACAAAUGGUUUUACAUCAUGAUAUAAUAAUUCAAGAAAUAUUAUUAAGAUCAAAAUAUUAUUGUCAAGUGGUAUUAUUUUAUAAACAAAAAAUUGCAUCAUUGCAUUAACAAUAUAAGAUUUUUUUUUUUAACUAAUCUUUUUUUUUUAAUUCUUUUAAAAUUAGUUAUUAACAUCGAAUAUUUGACUUAAACUUUUACCAAAUUAUGAAAAAUGUAAAUUAAGCUCUAACUUGAAUCGAAAUUGAGAAAGUAAUAAGGACCAUUAAUCUAAUUUAUGACAUUUUUAAACUACAAUAAUUAGAAGAGGCAUUUAAAAUAUCAACUCAUGUGUCUACUUGGAUGAGCUCUACAAUAAUCCAGUAUUAUACUAAUUUAAAUAUGCAGGACGAAAUAAGUUCAAACUUAGAUGAAAUGUUUAGUCUAUUGAAAUACUCCAUGAAAAUGAACAUGUUACAAAUUUGUCGACUUUCUUAAUUUUUUUGCCAUUUUCAUUUUAUCUACCAUACUAAACAUGAACAGAGUCUCAGUUUCCAUCGAGGAAAAUAGUUGGAAAUCAAGAUAUUUUGAGUGUGAAUUUCUGCUCAAUGAUCAUUCCUUUUCGUCCACCUUAUAUACACUUACAAUUCAAUAUAAGCAAUUACAUACAAAAGGAAUAUUCUAGUCCUACCAACAAAGUUCUACCAAGUGGAUAACAAUUUAUAUUCCCACUCCUAAAAAUUGGGAAGUGUGCUGGCUCACACCAUGGAUGUUGCUAGCUGGUUAACUGCUCCUUUUAAAUUGGUUGAGUGGCUCCAACACCCCCCGCCCCCCUACUCCCUGAAGGUGGAAGUGUCUCUACCACUCCAAGCUGGUCUCCAAGGAAUAAGAACCUUGAGUAAGAGAAAGGUUUUGUCAACAAAUCUACUGUCCGAUCUAAUGAUGGAAUAUAACGUAUUUCCAAUUCUCCUCUUACAACUUUAUCUCUCAUGAAAUGAACAUUGAGUUCUAUAUGCUUGUGCGUGCAUGAUAGAUCGGAUUUGAGGCCAAAGCACUUGAACUUAGAUUGUCACACCAAAUUCUUUGAACUAUGUUUUGUAAUAUUUUUAACUCUUCCAUUAGGGACUGAAUCCUUCAAGUCCAAUAUUAGGUCUAAUUGCCUGUUAAACAAUUAAAAUAGUAGAACAAGAUAGUCUAUCUACAGUUAUAAUUUGACUAUCGAAUUAAGUCUGAAUAUUUGGCCUAAAUUGACACGAAAAUGACUUUAUACUUAACAUAAUUUUCUCAAUUUAAAUCCAAUUUCCAGCAUUAAAGUGAAAUUAUACUAGAGCACGUGGAGGCUACGAAGCCCCUGAGCAUUUUAGUUUCCUUUUUAUCUUGAUUGGUUUUGAAGCUUUACGAAUAAAAGUUGAUACGGCACUGCUUAGUUUUUUGACUCUGGCAAAUAUUAGUGAAAUUAAAGUGUCUUUAUCAUUUACACUCGCAUCUCCUUUCCUACUUUGAAUUGUUAUUUUAAAUUUUCAAACUAUCACACUUGUUCAGACCAAAAAUUUCAUAGCCUGAAACAAAAGGAAAUGGAUAAUUCAAGUAAAAAUGCUGUUGGAAACAAAAAAUCUUCAUAGAUUAUAUUCAUUUCAUUGAAGUAUUUAGCAAAAAAAAACCCUUUUUUCAGCAAAUCGUCAUCUAAAGAAUCACAUUAUUUGUCCACUUCAUUCUUUGUGCUUAAUAGUACUUGUCCGUGCUCGACUUCGGUAAGAUGGAUCGAACAACACUCGAAAAUAUAAAAGAAAAGGAAGUUAAAAUCUUGUUAAUUGUGAUGUUCAGUCUUAUUCAAUACUCUGUACAAAACAUGUCUUUUAAGAUGAAGGUUCACAAGCUGAACCAUCUGCCCGUUUAUUCUCAUUGGAAAGAAUUUUGGCAGAUUGAACUAACUUGGCUAUAGCAUGAUCUCUCUUUGCCAUUGAUGGGAGCCUUUCACCUGCCUCGGCAUGCAACUGAACUUCCCAUCCCCUGAAUGCCCCUUUUCUAUUAUAUACUCAGAGCUAAACAACUUCCCAUCCGACAAUAAAGGAUGGCUUUUUCUUUUAAAUUCUACCCUGCCACUUGAUUUUGUUAUCUGGAAAUAGUUGAAUAUUGACAUAAGACACGCAGUUUAAAGAGAGUGACAAAUACAAAAGUCGCUAGACUCUAAAAAUGAUUCAUAACAAUUUAACUACAUGAUUACUGCCCCAUUGUAGUAAACAUCCAUGGUCGUUUCUAAAAUAUGGAAGAUGAAUAUUUUGAUCAUUGCUCUAAUUAAUUUAGGUAUGUCUCGAUUGCAUGUUUUGUACAAGAAAUUCAGAAAGUAAAUCACAAUGUUGUUUCAAAGUUCUAUACCAAUGUCAAGAUCAGCUGCAAAAAGUGGAUUUAUUUAAACAAUUAAAGACUUCGGAGAAAGCUUUGUAUAAACUAUACAUAAAUACAAUUCUGAAGCUUGAAAAUUCGGAAUCCAAGGCUUCAAAGAAAGCCUUACAGAAACUAGUGAUGGCAAAAAAAAACCCUGCUCCAGUGGCUCCGCCCCAAAUGGGGCCAAAAAUACUCUCCCCGAUGGGUUGGUGGGACAGGGAGGGGAUGCCCCGCCCCGUGAAGAGAAAAAUAAUUUCAUUUUACUCUUUUGUUUUUAUAUUCUGUUCAAAAUAAUUUUCAUUAUUAUAUGUGCAAGUGGUAUAUAAAUACAAAAGUGAGUUUGGACAUAUGUGCAGCUUUCUCCACCUAAUUGGUCUAAAUUCAUUGGCACAAUCUAUGAUGCACAUAAAACUACCACCUAAAACUGGGGGCAUUUUCUUUUCUGCUGGUAAAACCUCCCCCCAGUUUCUUUGUAUACAUAUAUAUAAACUCAAUAUUCUCCCCAUUAUUUUUCAUCAUCAUUCAAAUCCAUUGAGCACAAACAGUGAAUAAUUUUAACCGUACGAAAGAAGAAGUUGAAAAUGAGUUCCACAAGCAGGGCUUGGUUAGUGGGAGCAAGCAUUGGAGCUGUUGAGGUUCUGAAAGAUCAGGGAUUCUGUAGAUGGAAUUAUGCAAUGAGGAUACUUCAACAACAUGCCAAGAACAACCUCAGAUCAUACACUCAAGUUAAGAAACUUUCUGGAGCACCCUCUUCAACAAUUAUAUGUAAAAAGAUGAAGGAAGAUCACAGGUUGAAGAAAUCUGAGGAUUCAUUGAGAACGGUUAUGUAUUUGAGCUGUUGGGGACCUAAUUGAAUUGAAUCUCCAAACCCGUAUUUGAGCUGUUGGGUUUCAGUUUCCUCUUCUCUCUUCUAAUUUUUGAUUUGAUGGUUUAUAAUAUAAAUCGUUUCUAUAAUAUAUUUCGUUAUUGUUUUAAUGUUAGUUUUUUAAAUUAGCAAUGAGUCGCAUAAUACACAUUUGAAUGCGGCGGCGGGGUGGGGGGGGGGGGGGGGGGGGGGGGGGGGGCGGUGUACUCGACCCGCUGCCAUCCCUAAUAGAAAGAACAAACAUAUUUGAUUCUCAGCUUAUAAGUUUAGAAUUCACUUACAAAAUUUCAUUCUAAAUGGUGUUCGAGCCUCUCUUGGCUUAACCAACACUCGGCCUGGCUAGGUCGUACAGUGACUGGCCUGGCUUUUUACUUGCAAGGUCGAGUCAGCCUGCCACACUUUUACACCUCUACGCAGUUGAAGCACAAGAUGCAUCUCCAAAAGAGACAUAGGCGCUCGUCCAUGGCAUAAAUCUGAAACCUUGGAAUUCCUAGUUAGCAUCAAUAACACUAUUUUAGCAUUUCUUUUUAUGAAACAAAUUGUAUUUGCCUUUCUAUAGGAUUCAAAUUUAGCCACUCUUUUAUUUAACAAGUUAAGUUCCACCAAUCUAUCUUGCUAUAGGGGAGAAGAUUACAUGUAAUUAAGGUGUUGUUUUGGGAUCUUCAAUGGUCAUGAGUGAUGCUAUUCAUUGUUAGUAGAGAUCACCAAUCUAGGUGGCAGUAGGCCUCUUAAUUCAUUGGAUUAAGAUGCUUAACAACUCCAUUG